GGAGAGGUGGCAGAGCGGUUGAAUGCGGCGGUCUUGAAAACCGCUUUACUCGAAAGGGUAACGGGGGUUCGAAUCCCUCCCUCUCCG
This 87-nucleotide transfer RNA is filed under the name Flavobacteriales bacterium. RNAcentral's name for it is "tRNA-Ser". It matches the Rfam family "tRNA". From Rfam's summary of the family: Transfer RNA (tRNA) molecules are approximately 80 nucleotides in length. Their secondary structure includes four short double-helical elements and three loops (D, anti-codon, and T loops). The record is from RNAcentral. Lineage: Bacteria; Pseudomonadati; Bacteroidota; Flavobacteriia; Flavobacteriales.